AUUGAACGCUGGCGGCAUGCUUUACACAUGCAAGUCGAACGGCAGCGCGGGGCAGCCUGGCGGCGAGUGGCGAACGGGUGAGUAAUAUAUCGGAACGUACCCAAGAGUGGGGGAUAACGUAGCGAAAGUUACGCUAAUACCGCAUACGAUCUAAGGAUGAAAGCAGGGGACCGCAAGGCCUUGUGCUCCUGGAGCGGCCGAUAUCUGAUUAGCUAGUUGGUGAGGUAAAGGCUCACCAAGGCGACGAUCAGUAGCUGGUCUGAGAGGACGACCAGCCACACUGGAACUGAGACACGGUCCAGACUCCUACGGGAGGCAGCAGUGGGGAAUUUUGGACAAUGGGCGCAAGCCUGAUCCAGCAAUGCCGCGUGAGUGAAGAAGGCCUUUGGGUUGUAAAGCUCUUUUGUCAGGGAAGAAACGGUGCGGGCUAAUAUCCCGCGCUAAUGACGGUACCUGAAGAAUAAGCACCG
Molecule: ribosomal RNA, 470 nt
Filed under: uncultured Massilia sp.
Lineage: Bacteria; Pseudomonadati; Pseudomonadota; Betaproteobacteria; Burkholderiales; Oxalobacteraceae
Description: bacterial SSU rRNA
Rfam family: Bacterial small subunit ribosomal RNA
Source: RNAcentral